RNAcentral lists this ribosomal RNA (292 nucleotides) under uncultured bacterium. Its description in RNAcentral is "partial 16S ribosomal RNA". The record is from RNAcentral.
GGACUACUCGGGUAUCUAAUUCCGUUCGCUCCCCUAGCUUUCGCGCCUCAGCGUCAGGUGCGGCCCAGUCGACCGCCUUCGCCACUGGUGUUCUGCCUGAUCUCAACGCAUUUCACCGCUACUCCAGGCAUUCCGCCAACCCCUACCGCCCUCUAGCUUCCCCGUUUGGACUGCCCUCUCCCAGGUAAGCCAGGAGCUUUCACAACCCACGUAAGAAGCCGCCUACGCGCUCUUUACGCCCAGUAAUUCCGGACAACGCUCGCAUCCUACGUAUUACCGCGGCUGCUGGCAC